RNAcentral lists this ribosomal RNA (299 nucleotides) under uncultured microorganism. Its description in RNAcentral is "partial 16S ribosomal RNA". It matches the Rfam family "Bacterial small subunit ribosomal RNA", at positions 9 to 299 of the family's 1533-position model. The record is from RNAcentral.
GAGUUUGAUCGUGGCUCAGGAUGAACGCUAGCUACAGGCUUAACACAUGCAAGUCGAGGGGCAGCAUGAACUUAGCUUGCUAAGUUUGAUGGCGACCGGCGCACGGGUGAGUAACACGUAUCCAACCUGACCGAUGACUCGGGGAUAGCCUUUCGAAAGAAAGAUUAAUACCCGAUGGCAUAGUUCUUCCGCAUGGUAGGACUAUUAAAGAAUUUCGGUCAUCGAUGGGGAUGCGUUCCAUUAGCUUGUUGGCGGGGUAACGGCCCACCAAGGCAUCGAUGGAUAGGGGUUCUGAGAGG